This 492-nucleotide ribosomal RNA is filed under the name uncultured bacterium. Its description in RNAcentral is "partial 16S ribosomal RNA". It matches the Rfam family "Bacterial small subunit ribosomal RNA", at positions 29 to 507 of the family's 1533-position model. The record is from RNAcentral.
AGUGAACGCUGGCGGUAGGCCUAACACAUGCAAGUCGAACGGCAGCACAGUAAGAGCUUGCUCUUACGGGUGGCGAGUGGCGGACGGGUGAGGAAUACAUCGGAAUCUACUUUUUCGUGGGGGAUAACGUAGGGAAACUUGCGCUAAUACCGCAUACGACCUACGGGUGAAAGCAGGGGAUCUUCGGACCUUGCGCGAUUGAAUGAGCCGAUGUCGGAUUAGCUAGUUGGCGGGGUAAAGGCCCACCAAGGCGACGAUCCGUAGCUGGUCUGAGAGGAUGAUCAGACACACUGGAACUGCGACACGGUCCAGACUCCUAAGGGAGGCAGCAGUGGGGAAUAUUGGACAAAGGGCGCAAGCCUGAUCCAGCCCUACCGCGUGGGUGAAGAAGGUCUUCGGGUUGUAAAGUCCUUUUUUUGGGAAAGAAAAGCAGCAGGUUAAUACCCCGCUGUUCUGACGGUACCCAAAGAAUAAGCACCGGCUAACUUCGUG